This 395-nucleotide ribosomal RNA is filed under the name uncultured bacterium. RNAcentral describes it as "bacterial SSU rRNA". It matches the Rfam family "Bacterial small subunit ribosomal RNA", at positions 29 to 428 of the family's 1533-position model. The record is from RNAcentral.
AUUGAACGCUGGCGGCAUGCCUUACACAUGCAAGUCGAACGGCAGCACGGGGGCAACCCUGGUGGCGAGUGGCGAACGAGUGAGUAAUACAUCGGAACGUGCCCAGUAGUGGGGGAUAGCCCGGCGAAAGCCGGAUUAAUACCGCAUACGACCUACGGGUGAAAGCGGGGGAUCGCAAGACCUCGCGCUAUCGGAGCGGCCGAUGUCAGAUUAGGUUGUUGGUGGGGUAAAAGCCCACCAAGCCGACGAUCUGUAGCUGGUCUGAGAGGACGACCAGCCACACUGGGACUGAGACACGGCCCAGACUCCUACGGGAGGCAGCAGUGGGGAAUUUUGGACAAUGGGCGCAAGCCUGAUCCAGCCAUGCCGCGUGCGGGAAGAAGGCCUGGUUGUAA